UACCGUGUAAUUACACAGAAGCUGCGAAAAACUGAAAUCUAAGUGUGCGGAACGAGCCGAGCUUUUUACUCAAAUGUUAAUUAAAUGGCACGAGACAAUCUCUCGCAAAUGCAUGCUUCGUAUGUGCUAUUGAAAUCUUUUUCGAUCGUUUUCAGCUUAUCGAGGAUACGUUAGUCGUGUUUUGUAUCGCGCGUACACCAUCAAAAAAGCUCCCGAGAUCGAAGGCUGCUCUCUCUCGGGAAAUAACGAGUGCGCGCGAUGAAUCAUGCACCGCACAACGUGAAUGUGGCACCGGCACACCGAAUCACUCAACAAUAAGAUAUCGUAUCGAUUUCAAUCAAAAUCAUCGUUCAUUUCCAAGCGAUGAAUUUAUUGAAAAUCUCGAACUUCGUAGGAAAAAAUGUACUACAAUGACGUGAUAUUAUAUUGCAAGGGAGAACGGUUGAUCCGAUGAACAACAACUUGGAUUCGUAAUCUGCGGAUCCCGGGUUCGAAUUCCUCUCAAGACACCAAUGGAUAAUGAAAAUUUUUCAAGUGUUUCUGCUGUAAUCUCGGGUGUUUCGGACUCCAUCUUCAUAAAUUCAUGACCGCGCGCGUAUCACACAGAGACACACGUGUGCGGUCGGUGUACGGCCUCGGGGGCCUCCCGUGGACGGUUCUCAUCGUACGGAUGAUGGCCAUUUAGCCGUCAGCCUGGCUGGCGCACUAAUGUAUCACAGAAUCACAGUAGAGGAGGUGUCUGUUUGAGCACAUCUGGUGGCCGCGUUUUUAAGCGUGCUCGCACUACCACCCGACGGGAUCAACCAAGGUAUACCAGCUGUAUCGGCAAGAUUUUCUGCAGUUUCCCUUCGCCCUCGACAAACGCGAUACACACAGUGGAAACUGCCGAUUAAUCGAACAAUAAAAGAGAACUGCGGCGCGUUCGAGAGUUAAACGAUAGUCUUGGCGGUGGUGCUGGCAGAAGGCCGAUUAUAUAUAUGCUUGAACGAGAUGACUAUAUUGUAGGAGAAUAAUUGGGCGUACCUAAAAUAGAUUGUCGCCGGGUCUCAAAAGUUUCGCUCAUAGGCGCCUCGGGUACUUUACGUGUUCGUGCUUUUUAUAACGGGUGCAGGGGUGACUCGUCGGUGUCGUAAAAUCGAGGUGACGAGCAGCAAGUAUACAAUUUCACAGUGAUUUUGAUAGCCCGGUGAUUCGCGGAUGAACGUCAAGAAAAAAAUUGCUGCGUGCUCUACAUCCAAUAAACGAUACGUCCAAGUACAAACUGAGGUCGGGGAGGAGGAAAAAGCCGAUAAUGUGGACACCCGGCAGAAAAGAGCUCGGCUUUAGCUGAGAGACGAUGACACCGCUAUCUUAUCAAUAUUGAGAAUAAAAUCGUGCGUCUAUCGAGAAUACCAGUGGUAUACAAAAAUCCUUACUUAUUGGAUCGAAACGCCACGGGAACAUAAAAAAUUUUUGUAUUUUUUCAUUCCACGUUCUUAAACCGGAAGUUGGAUAGGGGAAAGAGGGAGGAAGAGAGAUGUAUGUAUAUAAAAGAGAGCGCGACGAACAGCCUGCGGGUAUGAUUAUUUUUAAAUGAGCAAAGAAAAAAGUUUGUGUGACCGUAGAUAAGCUAUCUUUGCUGAGCGAGUUUAAACGCGCUGGGCAUGUAUCUCACAUGUUGCAAGGGAGAGAGAGAAAGGUUGACUGAAAUAUUUCGUCUAUUCUGUGCGGUCCCGUAUCUAGCUUAACGAAAUUCACAACGCAAACGUUUAAUAGCGCUAUUGUUUAUCAUCAAGUCCGAUGCAUGCUCGUUUAAGUGGCAAGAAUUGAAUGAAACGAGAGACGAUGAAUGCGGCGACGGUAACGGGAUAUUGAAGAAAUACAUGAAUAAAAACAAUCUAAAAAAGUUAAUACUCAAGGCGGAUUGUGUUGUAUCGCGUUGCGGAAUCUCGAUAAUUCCUCAUAUAUGAAACCAACAAUUUAGUUUCGAGAAUAGAAUAUAUAUUCGUAAUAAGGACACUCACGUUUGCGACUGGACAGAUGAAAUUCGUUUUUCGUGCUUUUUAUUUGUAUUUUUUUUCUUCUUCAAAUUAAAUUCAGAUCCGUUUGCAAGUAACGUCGUUCUCUGUAGCAGCGCCGUCAACACUACGUGAGUAAAGUCGAACGAAUGUCGUUGAUACGAUGUACGGAUCUCGUUGUAUCAUCGGACGCGGUCUCCGGCGUAAUAAUGAUGAUACGGCCCUUUUACGAGACCACCGAUCGUACAACAGUUUAUAAAAUGAUGUACGAAAAAGGGCGCAAUCGAGACGAUUUAUUCACAGAUGGAGCGACGGCUCUUAGGCCCUUUUGAUUAUUAUGAAUUGUGCAUUGAACACGUUAUCGUGCUACUAUAUAGCGGAGUAUCCUCACAAAUAUAACACGCCGAUGAAUAAUGAGUCCUAUUAAGCGAGGGUAUAUCGUUGAGUCUUUAUGUACCGGAAUUGCCAUGCACUGUCGCCCCAUUUCUAUUAUACGGCUCGUAUCGCAGGAGCUAUCUAUCAUUGUUUCAUUGAAGCGGAUUGGAGAGUAUUGAGCGCCUGGCGUCGUAACGUAAACAACUGCUUUUUCAAAAUAAUGCGACGACAAAAAAUUUCUACAGCGUUAUCGCGAACAAGCAACAUCCUUCUUUUCGAAGCUCCAACUUUUCGCCGUUUUCCUCUCCUUUCUCGUCCGGGGACGUUAUACGCAAUAUGUACAUAUAUAUGAAUAUGUCGAAAUGAUCUUCUCGUUAACGUUCGACCAGCCUGCACCCGACGCGAACGUACUCACCGCGUAUACCCAUGGAGAGAUAUAGGGGAGUAUGGGGCAAAGUGGCCCACUUAAGGAAUUUAACGAGUUUUGUCGGGUAAUAUAUGAUCAUUUACUUAUUUUUAUGUCCCCAAACUGAUUCCACCUCCUUGUUGCUCGAAUUUUGAAAAAAAAAUUUUUUGGGGCAAAGUGGCCACCCCCUCAAAUGCGAUGAAAAUCGAUAAUUGUCACUUCUGGUUAAAUAGACGUUGGAAUUGACUGUUCUCGCAUGGAACAUUGAAGGAUGCGAUAAAACAAAAAGAAACGAGGCAUAGUAGGAACCCUCCUUCGAUGGGAUGAAAAAAAAAUUAGUCAGAAUACUUUGAUAAAUUUUGCCAAAUUUUUUUUCAUGCCGAAAAUGAAUAUCCAGCCAACUUUAUCAGAUAAUAAAUGAUCUUUCGACUAUUGUUGAGUCUUAAAACUCUUUGUUCAUCCUCUUUUUCCUCAUUUGCGUCGAGAAAAUUUUUUGGGGCAAAGUGGCCACCCUCUCAAAUGCGGUGAAAAUCGAUAAUUGUCACUUCUGGUUAAAUAGACGUUGUAAUAGACUGUUCCCGCAUGGAACAUUGAAGGCCGCGAUAAACCGAAAAGAAACGAGGCAUAGUAGGUACCCUCCUUCAAUGGGAUGAAAAAAGAAUUAGUCGGAAUACUUGGAUAAAUUUUGCCAUUACCAAUGGCAAAAGCCCGUUCUUAUCGGGGGCAAAUCGUGGGAAAACCGCCGUUGUCACGAGUCUGUCGUAUCGCGCAAAUCUAGUGAGUAAGAAAAAAGAGAUCAUGAAAAAAGAAAAAUUCUUGUCUGCGGCGGACGUUGCGUGUAUUUUCUGCGAUCAACUUCAUUCGCAUUCCUCCAAAGAUUGAAUUCGCUGCGAAACAUGCCUAAAAUGGGCGCACACCUUGUGUGCAGGUGUUGAUGAAGAUGAAGUCCAUUAUAAGUACGAUUUUUGUCAAUUAAAAUAAAAUAGACAUUUAUCAGUAA
Venturia canescens is the source of this 3778-nucleotide long non-coding RNA. RefSeq lists it as uncharacterized. The record is from RefSeq and is a predicted model, not a curated record. NCBI's taxonomy places the organism in Eukaryota, Metazoa, Arthropoda, Insecta, Hymenoptera, Ichneumonidae. The transcript has 2 exons.